AAAAAGUGGUGGAGAACUGGGUUAGCAAAAGGUGAAGGUGAAGAUCAUUAGAGGUUUUAGGGCUGGCUGUGGCUGUUCUGCUGGGUUUGUGUGGCUGUGCCCAGAGGGCGGAGUUCCUGCAUAUUCCUACCUCACCGGAGAACCUGCCCUCAACUCCACUGCAGUUUAUUCCAGACAGAUGGGACCCUCCAGAACGAAAACCUGCCCAGCAAUCUCAGCAAGCCUUCCCGCCAGCAGGGUAGGUGAAGUUAAAGAAAACCUCCACUCCUUCUCCCUACAGGCAGAUACCUGUGAUGCGAAUUAAAAUACAUGACAGACUUCUGUCUACACAUACUGUUUUCCACUACCUAAAUAAUAACCAGCUCGUCUGCACGACUGAAGCAUAGUUUAAAAACACCAGUUACAUCUGAACUGUUUGUGCCCAAAGUUAGGAUUUUCCUCUCCCUCCCCCCAGCUCUUUAAUUUAAUCAGUUAAGAGGACUAAAGCCAAGGAAGUGGCACGUGCAAUGUUUUGUUUGGCUUUUUAAGACGCUGUGCAGAACUACCUGUACCUGAAAGAAAAAGAGGAUGCCAAAGUGGUGGCGAUACUUUCUCGAGCAGAUUUGAUCAUUGGAGGUAAACAUGGAGUUAACUGGAUCUGAAUAACAGAGUAGGUAUCUUUGGAAGAAGAAGGUGACAUGAAGAGGCGCGUCUGACAGCCAAAGUGGGGGAACUGUCCGGGAGAAGGACACGUGAUGAAUUGAGAGCUGCGUGGUCACGGUGCAAAGGGAGAAUAGGACAGUGUGCUGGUACCAAAUGCCUUUUUUCCCCUUGCUUGAACAACACAAAAAUGGGGGGAGGGGAAGAGAGAUGGGGGUUGGGAGGGAGAGAUCCGUGGAGUUAGUGGCUGUCUAGAGGAGUGUAAACACGAACCCAUCAUCUUCUUGGGAGGAGGGGAGUCUGCUUUUGUCAAACCUGCUAGUGUCUGGAAGAUAAAGGCAAAGAGGCCACUGGACCAGCCUGAGAUUCUGCCUUGAAAUCUGGACCCGAAAUGAUUCAAAGGACAAAAAGGGGGAAAAUAAUCCUAAAAUCUCCCAGGCAGGCAGCUGUCCGGGGUUAAAACCGGUUAUUUGUUCAUUGCCUUGAUAUCGUAGAGAGGAAAGGCUGCCACAGAACGCGGGGGGGGGGGGGGGGGAAGGUUUUAAAUAAUAUCCGAUUCCUCUGGUAACUUGGUACAAGUCUCAAUUUAGCUGCAGCCCAGGCAGCUCUGGAGGUUUAGGGGAGAUGUAAAUGUUGUAACUUCUCGGAUUGCGUGUGACCCUGAGCGGUACUGCUAUGAUUUCAAUAAACACUUUACAAUCGACUAAACUAGCUCCUUCGUCCGUCAGAAAACAUCACUUCGAGUCUCGAAUAAAAUAUUGUGGAAUAGUCUGAGCUAAACGUUGCUUUGCAAAAGCACUUUCCUUGCCAAUCUCCCAGUAACUGCGCACACCCUGGCACUGAGAGUUCUAUAAACGAUGCCGUCUUUAUAUCAGUUACCAACAACAGGUUAAAAUUCACUUCUAUCACUGUGUUCUUGGGAAGUGUGAGUGUGUGUCCGUGUGUGCUGGGAUAGGGGAGGAAGUGAUCUAUUAUAAUGAAUUCGUUUUGAAUCUGCACCCAGAUCCGUAUAUCUUCCUCUCUGACCCCGGGCAGUCAACCCCAGUUUUGGUCUGAAAACUUAUUCGAGAGAGCUCAGUGGAGAGCGAGCGGGCGAGGUCCCUUCACUUUACUGGAAGUCUGAGGUGUGCUGAGAUCUGUACUUCAACCAGACUUGAUGUGACUAUGUCUACAGUUUCGUUUGCUAACUAUCACAUCUCCUAUAUUUAAAGGAAAGAAAUAACGUUCCCUAGAAAUAAUUACCCGGGACGGCAGCCAGUAUGGGGAAAGUGAAUGUGGAUGGAAUUAGGGAUAGAGCAAUGUCCUGCAAUAAGUGAUCGUAACACAAAUUAAACAAGUUUUAUUGUGUCAUACCAUCCUAUCAGUGCUGACCCCAGCAUGGAACGAGGUGCUGUUCAACGGGGAAUUUUGUUUAAGUACUUACGACAAUAAAUGGCCCAUUGUUAUUAAAAUAAAUGGUCUGUUAGAUUUCUAAUAGUUGUAUUUAAAAAUAUUAUCUAUUACGCACCUGUGACAGCUAAAGAAUAAAACUAAAGAAAAACAAUAAACAAUAAAAUG
Malaclemys terrapin pileata is the source of this 2196-nucleotide long non-coding RNA. RefSeq lists it as uncharacterized. The record is from RefSeq and is a predicted model, not a curated record. Lineage: Eukaryota; Metazoa; Chordata; Testudines; Emydidae. The transcript is spliced from 4 exons.